CGGACGGGUGAGUAAUGUCUGGGAAACUGCCUGAUGGAGGGGGAUAACUACUGGAAGCGGUAGCUAAUACCGCAUAACGUCGCAAGACCAAAGAGGGGGACCUUCGGGCCUCUUGCCAUCGGAUGUGCCCAGAUGGGAUUAGCUGGUAGGUGGGGUAACGGCUCACCUAGGCGACGAUCCCUAGCCGGUCUGAGAGGAUGACCAGCCACACUGGAACUGAGACACGGUCCAG
This 232-nucleotide ribosomal RNA is filed under the name uncultured bacterium. RNAcentral describes it as "partial 16S ribosomal RNA". It matches the Rfam family "Bacterial small subunit ribosomal RNA", at positions 99 to 334 of the family's 1533-position model. The record is from RNAcentral.